Molecule: ribosomal RNA, 468 nt
Filed under: uncultured bacterium
Lineage: Bacteria
Description: partial 16S ribosomal RNA
Rfam family: Bacterial small subunit ribosomal RNA
Source: RNAcentral
GACGAACGCUGGCGGCGUGCUUAACACAUGCAAGUCGAACGGAAAGGCCCUGCUUUUGUGGGGUGCUCGAGUGGCGAACGGGUGAGUAACACGUGAGUAACCUGCACUUGACUUUGGGAUAUCUUCAGGAAACUGGGGCUAAUACCGGAUAGGAGCUCCUGCAGCAUGGUGGGGGUUGGAGAGUUUCGGCGGUUGGGGAUGGACUGGCGGCUUAACAGCUUGUUGGUGGAGUAGUUGCUUACCAAGGCUUUGACGGGUAGCCGGCCUGAGAGGGUGACCGGCCACAUUGCGACUGAGAUACGGCCCAGACUCCUACGGUAGGCAGCAGGGGAGAAUAUUGCACAAUGGCCGGAAGCCUGAUGCAGCAACGCCGCGUGCGGGAAGACGGCCUUCGGGUGAUAAACCGCUUUCGCCUGUGACGAAGCGUUAGUGACGGUAAUGGGUAAAGAAGCACCGGCUAACUACGUG